RNAcentral lists this ribosomal RNA (716 nucleotides) under uncultured bacterium. RNAcentral's name for it is "bacterial SSU rRNA". It matches the Rfam family "Bacterial small subunit ribosomal RNA", at positions 777 to 1500 of the family's 1533-position model. The record is from RNAcentral.
AUUAGAUACCCUGGGUAGUCCACGCAGUAAACGAUGAAUACUAAUUGUCCGGGCAGAGAGAUGCCUGGGUGAUACAGCGAAAGCGUUAAGUAUUCCACCUGGGGAGUACGCCGGCAACGGUGAAACUCAAAGGAAUUGACGGGGGCCCGCACAAGCGGAGGAACAUGUGGUUUAAUUCGAUGAUACGCGAGGAACCUUACCCGGGCUCAAACGACACAGGAAUACUUUUGAAAGGAGGUAGCCAGCAAUGGUCUGUGUCGAGGUGCUGCAUGGUUGUCGUCAGCUCGUGCCGUGAGGUGUCGGCUUAAGUGCCAUAACGAGCGCAACCCCUACCGCCAGUUGCCAGCAGGUAAAGCUGGGGACUCUGGCGGGACUGCCGGCGCAAGCUGCGAGGAAGGCGGGGAUGACGUCAAAUCAGCACGGCCCUUACGUCCGGGGCGACACACGUGUUACAAUGGCAGGUACAGCGGGAAGCCACCUGGCGACAGGGCGCGGAACCCGAAAACCUGUCUCAGUUCGGAUUGGAGUCUGCAACCCGACUCCAUGAAGCUGGAUUCGCUAGUAAUCGCGCAUCAGCCACGGCGCGGUGAAUACGUUCCCGGGCCUUGUACACACCGCCCGUCAAGCCAUGGAAGCCGGGAGUGCCUGAAGUGCGUGACCGCAAGGAGCGUCCUAAGGCAAUACCGGUGACUGGGGCUAAGUCGUAACAAGGUAGC